CGCACAUCAGCCUUAGACUCUGAGCCCAAGCAAGGUGAUUACAAUUAUGAUGAUCUAUUAUUCCACUGUGAAGUUAGGUAGGGGGUCUAUUGAGAAGUUCAGGAAGAUCUUGGUCAGGGAAAUCAUCUUCUCCAACUAACUUGCCAAGCCUGAUUCCUGAUUUUACCUUUCACUAUAUAACAUACCUACCCACUCUUUAUACCCAAGUGUCUUACCCAGGGGUGAAGAACUGAAACAUCUUCCUGAACCAGCCUCUGUCACCACUGUCCUCCUGGCAGCAUCCUGAAUUGCGAAGAGCCACCCCGCCCCCCAGACAUUCAGUGACCUAGACUCAGACCUCUGGGGAAGGACACAGUCUCCAGGCUCAGCCAGUAGGCAGGGGACUGUGACAGAAAGGGACAUGUGGCCAAGUCCCUCUGGUGAGAUACAAACCUGGACUUUGGCCAAACCUGGUUUUCAACCUAGAAGCAUCUUUCUCCUGGACCUGGAAGCGAUCCCUUUGAAACACAGUCAUAAAGACAGGGCCUCUGUCUCCUGGGUCCUGUGGGAAGAGUCCUCAGGUGACCUUGGGAGUUCAUGCUUCCUCUCUAAGCCUUCGACCCCAAGCUGAAACAGUGGAGCUGCUGGAGAUGGUACUGGGUGCCCCUGCUAGCUGAGACAUUGCAGGACUUUUGGGACACGAGGUUCUGCCACUCUGAUCAGUCGUCAUCACCGUGUGUGCACAAGAGAACCCUGCAGAGCUUCCCAUGCUACAGCCAUUCAAACCUCUAAUCCUUGGAAUCCUGGUGUGGGAAAACUCAAGUGAAAAUGCCCAGGAAAUUCUGAUUGCUGCAGAGACAUUGAGGGAAUCAGCGAAUCUGGCAAUGAGGCUGGAGUGCAGUGGUGCCAUCUCAGCUUACUGCAACCUCUGACUCCCUGGUUCAAACGAUUCUCCUGCCUCAGCCUCCCGAGUAGCUGGGAUUACAGAGCUUGAGGCACCAUGACACAGAAACCAAGGACACAUGACUUCAGAUACUUAAGAAAACUCAUGUCAUCAAAUCACAUCAAGAACAUUGGAUGGCACAUCAAGACCUUCGUAAUAAGGUGGGUGUGGAUCUCAGCUAUCACACCCAGAUUGAGGAAAAAUUCCCAAAGUGAUUUUAUUUUUAGUUGUACAUCUUGUCUUUGUUUCCUUCUGAACUCCCAUUCCUCAAGAAUGGCAGAAACCCAAUCUCAGCUCUUGCAGGACCGCUAUUCUGGUUCUGAGCCCGUGACUAAGGAUUAGAGAUUCUUUGUCCUGCUGAGACAUCUGGUCUGAACAAGCAGGUAUCCUCUAUGCCAGGGCUAGGAUUUAAAUACUGGCCUCAUUCCAAAAUUUACUUUCUAUUCUCCUUCUCUGCAUACUUAGGUAGUUUGAUUUCAGCUAAGCAGAAGCAGCAGCUCUCAUUAAUUGGAACCUGGUUCUGCUGCCUUGUCCUGCCAUUCUAACACUAAAGUCCUGUUUCUCUGCUUUCAUGAGCUCCUGGGUUUUGUACACGUUCCUUUUUCACUGCAACGUGUCAAAGCCUAUUAAAAUUUUGUGUUUGAAUUUUACUAUCCAACUUCUUUUUUUUUUUUUUCUUACCAAUGAGUGCAUUCAUAUCUUGUGUCUUUGGUCUUACACUCCUAAUAACUUUGUAAAGUGGGUUAGGCAGGUACAUUCAUUUACAAAUAAAAGAACUGAGGUGCUAACAUUUUCUGGAUUUGCAUUUCUUAAAGGCAGAGUGGGGAGGUAGCAAAAGCUGUCCUGGGGACCAGCCCAGUUCUUUUUGAUCCAGUGCUGUUACAAGCAUUCAAUCUAUCUUUUACUCUCUAGUUUUCUUUUUGCUUUACUCUAGUUUGUUUUCAAUAAUCUUGGGAAUUACACAUUUUUUUUCUUUUUGAGACUGAGUCUUGCUCUGUCACUCAGGCUGGAGUGCAGUGGUGCGAUCUUGGGUCACUAUAACCUCCACCUCCCGGGUUCAAGCGAUUCUGCCACCUCAGCCUCCCAAGUAGCUGGGAUUAUAGGCACGCGCCACCAUGCUCAGCGAAUUUUUGUAUUUCUAGUAGAGAUGGGGUUUCACCAUGUUGACCAGGCUAGUCUCAAACUCCUGACCUCAGGUGAUCUGCCCGCCUUGGCCUCCCAAAGUGCUGGGUUACAGGUGUGAGCCACCACACCUGGCUGGGAAUUACACAUAUUUUAAAAGUGAAUUUUAAUUUUAUUUACUUUAAAAAUGUUGUGCAUCAUGCAAUAGAAUUAAGUUAUCACUGUCUGUUCUUUGAAAUUUUAUGCCCAAAAAUGUCAUGCAUGCUUGUAAUAGACCCAAAUAUGGGCAAGAACUACGAACGUAAUCAAAAGAAAGACAUUUCUGAGAAUUCUACCCCAACCCAGCUUUGCUAAAAACAUGAAUAGGUUACAGUUAAGUAAGACA
This 2429-nucleotide long non-coding RNA is filed under the name Homo sapiens (human). RNAcentral's name for it is "HSALNT0371592". The record is from RNAcentral. Lineage: Eukaryota; Metazoa; Chordata; Mammalia; Primates; Hominidae.